GAUGAAGAACGUAGCGAAAUGUGAUACUUGGUGUGAAUUGCAGAAUCCCGUGAACCAUCGAGUUUUUGAACGCAAGUUGCGCCCGAAGCCGUUAGGCCGAGGGCACGCCUGCCUGGGUGUCACACAUCGUUGCCCCAAUGCCAAUCGCCUCACUUUGUAGGUAUUUGCUUGGGGUGAAUGAUGGCCUCCCGUGAGCUUUGUCUCACGGUUGGUUGAAAAUCGAGUGCAUGGUGUCGGGUGUACCAUGAUGGAUGGUGGUUGAGUGAUGAUGCUCGAGACCAAUCAUGGGUAACUCCACCAGAAUUGGGCUCGGUGACCCACAUGCGUCCCUUGGAUGCUCCCUAAGGAGACCUCAGGUCAGGCGGGGCUACCCGCUGAGUUUAAGCAUAUCAAUAAGCGGAGGA
This 404-nucleotide unclassified non-coding RNA is filed under the name soil metagenome. RNAcentral describes it as "partial contains 5.8S ribosomal RNA, internal transcribed spacer 2, and large subunit ribosomal RNA". The stretch from base 1 to 122 matches the Rfam family "5.8S ribosomal RNA", at positions 35 to 154 of the family's 154-position model. The record is from RNAcentral.